Molecule: non-coding RNA, 113 nt
Organism: Acanthosepion pharaonis
Lineage: Eukaryota; Metazoa; Mollusca; Cephalopoda; Sepiida; Sepiidae
Source: the annotation of a GenBank genome assembly
UAUGGCCACAUCAAGUUGAAGCACCAGUUCCCAUACUAUCACUGAAGUUAAGCAAUGUUGAGCUUGGUCAGUAUCUAGAUGGGUGACUGCUUCAGAAUAUCAAGUGCUGUAAG